This 496-nucleotide ribosomal RNA is filed under the name uncultured soil bacterium. RNAcentral describes it as "bacterial SSU rRNA". It matches the Rfam family "Bacterial small subunit ribosomal RNA", at positions 26 to 534 of the family's 1533-position model. The record is from RNAcentral.
AGAUUGAACGCUGGCGGCAUGCCUUACACAUGCAAGUCGAACGGCAGCACGGGAGCAAUCCUGGUGGCGAGUGGCGAACGGGUGAGUAAUAUAUCGGAACGUGCCCAGUCGUGGGGGAUAACGCAGCGAAAGCUGUGCUAAUACCGCAUACGAUCUAUGGAUGAAAGCGGGGGAUCGCAAGACCUCGCGCGAUUGGAGCGGCCGAUAUCAGAUUAGCUAGUUGGUGGGGUAAAAGCCUACCAAGGCGACGAUCUGUAGCUGGUCUGAGAGGACGACCAGCCACACUGGAACUGAGACACGGUCCAGACUCCUACGGGAGCAGCAGUGGGGAAUUUUGGACAAGUGGGCGCAAGCCUGAUUCCAGCAAUGCCGCGUGCAGGAUUGAAGUCCGUUAGGUAGUAAACUGUCUUUAGUACCGGUAACGAAACGGUUCUCGUACUAAUACGAGGGACUAAGUGUACGUACCGUAAGAAUAACGACGACCGGACUAACCGUA